GCACUGCUGAGGGGUCCCGCAACAGGACGAAGCGGCCGCCCAGUGC
This is a non-coding RNA of Schistosoma mattheei, 46 nucleotides long. Lineage: Eukaryota; Metazoa; Platyhelminthes; Trematoda; Strigeidida; Schistosomatidae. The record is from Rfam.